Long non-coding RNA from Monopterus albus (swamp eel), 1216 nucleotides. RefSeq lists it as uncharacterized. NCBI's taxonomy places the organism in Eukaryota, Metazoa, Chordata, Actinopteri, Synbranchiformes, Synbranchidae. The transcript is spliced from 3 exons. The record is from RefSeq and is a predicted model, not a curated record.
GGUGGGACAAGUAGGACGAAGCAAGAGGAUAAGAGUAAAACUACCGGAGAGUUUUCUCGUUACCUGGUGAAUGCAAAGUUUGCCGCUGUGUAACGGGAGAUUUCUGGAGGACUUGGACCAGGAGACAUUCCUUGGGUUUUUAUUUUUAAUCCUGUCGGGCGCAUAACCUGGAGUUCAGCCACAGUACGUUCCCGCCACGACUGGUUGUCGAUGCCGCCUGCCGACUGUGUGUUCCCACUCAUCUCGUCAGACCAGCAUUGUCGAAUAACCGGUUCAUCCAACCGACUGUCCAUCGAGGUUCAGGUAUCUUCAGAAACAUGUCCUCUCCAGAGAUUGGCUUGCUCUCCUGGGGCAACAUGAAGGUCAAGGGAUGCGCCUCCAGCUACAAGGAUUGUAAGGUCUGGCCUGUCCUCACUUAAUAAUAAUAUAAUAAUAAUCACCUUUAUUUGGCCAACUAUGUUACACACACACACACACAAGGAAUUUUUUUUCUGGUACAGAACCGAGGAAGCCAUCUACGGCGCCAACUCACGCCGAAGGGACAACUUGGGGGUUCAGUGUCCCAAGGACACUUCGACAUGGGGACUGCAGGCACUGAGAUCCGACCCUCCGGUUGGGAGACGGCUGCUCUACCCACUGAACCACAGUCAAACCCCAGUUAAUUAAUUCAACCUCAAUAUCAAGAAUUCCUGCUCAUUAGUAGGGAUGACUCGAUACCAGUUUUUCACAUCCGAUACCGAUACCACAAAAUUUAGUAUCUGCCGAUACCGAUUCCUGUCCGAUACCAAGUAAAUUGUUAAUAUAUUUUGCAGUUAAUGUAGCUGGCAGGUCGUACUCCGCAGCAUAUGCACACAAGAAUCGUUUUUGUGCUAGAAGGCUCUGGAUCAUGUAAUACGUACUGUUCCACCUUGUACGUACGUCUUACUGAAGAUGCUUGGUCGGCAUAUUCUGUUCAACCUGAAUGUCCUCUAAGCGUGAAUAUGCAAGUGGCUAGUGCUUGAAGUGACCCACGAUUUUUCUGCCGACAGACACAGCAUCACUUACGCUACGCUGCGCUAGCAGUCCCUUGUUUACAACAAGUUGCAAGUUAUGUGCAAAGCACCCCAAACUAGCAACUCCAAGACGGUCCAUUGCUUUGACCACGUUACUGGCAUUAUCUCGUAAAAUGACAUGAACCUUACUCUUCUCAAUGUUCCAUGCUUUUAACAUUUCCUCU